This 492-nucleotide ribosomal RNA is filed under the name uncultured bacterium. Its description in RNAcentral is "partial 16S ribosomal RNA". It matches the Rfam family "Bacterial small subunit ribosomal RNA", at positions 29 to 507 of the family's 1533-position model. The record is from RNAcentral.
AGUGAACGCUGGCGGUAGGCCUAACACAUCCGAGUCGAACGGCAGCACAGUAAGAGCUUGCUCUUACGGGUGGCGAGUGGCGGACGGGUGAGGAAUACAUCGGAAUCUACUUUUUCGUGGGGGAUAACGUAGGGAAACUUACGCUAAUACCGCAUACGACCUACGGGUGAAAGCAGGGGAUCUUCGGACCUUGCGCGAUUGAAUGAGCCGAUGUCGGAUUAGCUAGUUGGCGGGGUAAAGGCCCACCAAGGCGACGAUCCGUAGCUGGUCUGAGAGGAUGAUCAGCCACACUGGAACUGAGACACGGUCCAGACUCCUACGGGAGGCAGCAGUGGGGAAUAUUGGACAAUGGGCGCAAGCCUGAUCCAGCCAUACCGCGUGGGUGAAGAAGGCCUUCGGGUUGUAAAGCCCUUUUGUUGGGAAAGAAAAGCAGCAGGUUAAUACCCCGCUGUUCUGACGGUACCCAAAGAAUAAGCACCGGCUAACUUCGUG